Medicago truncatula (barrel medic) is the source of this 3099-nucleotide long non-coding RNA. RefSeq lists it as uncharacterized. The record is from RefSeq and is a predicted model, not a curated record. The transcript has 7 exons. NCBI's taxonomy places the organism in Eukaryota, Viridiplantae, Streptophyta, Magnoliopsida, Fabales, Fabaceae.
GUACAAAGCUUCUGACAUCUAAUUCCUAACUUUCCUCUUACUUAACUCCCUAUUAUUUCCAUUAGCUCCCCAUUAAUUUUAAUAAUUAUUAAAUAACUCCCCAAGCGUCAACUAUCAUCGCCGCCGCUUUCCAUUUCUUCUUCCUCCUCCUCCUCAGAGAUAAUUCGUAGUUCCUAUGUUCCUGGAAACCAGUGACAAACAAAGUUCUAAUUUCAUCGACUAGCGAGCAUAGUAAGCAUUUCUCACUCAACGGCAUGUUGAGAUUCCCAGGUCCUUUCGUAUUUCUGAAAUUAUUCUAAACAACAUAAGCCGGCUUGUUAAUCCUUGUUAGGAUUUGAGGGAAGAUACCAUAAAUAUUUCGUUCAUUACCAGAGUUUGUUGUGCCAUCUGAUUGUGUCGGUGAUCCUGAAGAAAUGGAAUUGAGCGAUGACAAUGACGGUGAUCGAAAUCAUAAGCAUCGGAAGAAGGAAGAUCAUUCUCAACCGUUGGAGAGAGAUGUUUCAAAUCCUGUAAUUAACAGGCCAUUCAAAAAGCGUCUCAUUUUUUUUUGGGAAUCAUCAUCAGACAAAUGAGUCUAUGGCCUUUGAUACACUGAGAACUUACAAUGAUGCCACCACAAAUAAAGAUUUUUACUCCGAGUUUGAAAGAAGGCGCUCUAGGAUGACUUCAGUUCCUUGAAUACCUUUAGGUAUGAAUCAAAGAAUACAACCAAACCAAUCAUUCGCUGGAGAUCCUGGUGCUGGUGGGGGAGGAGGCAGGGAAUCCGGUUUUUGGAAUUAACGUGAAUCCAGGUUCAGCUCAAUUGAUGUUGCUUCACAAAUGGUUUAGCAGGGACCCAUUCAUCCAGCCCUUUAUACUGUACGUGGGGUUACCAAAUAUAUCAAAUGCACAAAAUGUGUCUUGUAAUACAUUCGGUUUACUUCCAGCAGUACCCAACGGUGGUUUAGACAUGCUUCAUCAAAUGGGUUUACAAGGAACACUCAGAACACCUAUUGAUUCAUCUUUAAAUGUGAAUAUUCCUUGUCAACGAUGCAGAGAUUUUGAGGAAUGUGGUUUUUGCCUUAGAGGGGACAUGUGUCCUAUGGAACAUGGUGUAAAUCGAAUUGUCGUUGAAGAUGUUCAGAGUCUUUCAUAGUUCAACCUUCCUGUUUCACUUACAAGUGCACGCCUAAUUGGAGCACCUACUGUAUCUGGAUCACUUCAGUAAAUAAUUUAACCGCUUCGAUGAACAGCAAAUGUAAACCUGGAAUAAUUUCCAAGUCCAUAGUCAGUGAUGUUGGUUUGCCGAUGGAUGGUGCAUAUCCCGGUCCUGGUUGCACAAGUGGAGCUGAUCUUUAUGAUCCAGAUCAACCACUGUGGAAUGAUAGAGGUCUGGAAUCUUCAAAUGCGCUUCUAAAUAUGCAGUCAUCGAAGAUUGAUGAUGCUGAGCCUAUGUCUAGUGAUGCUCCAAAUAGAGUUUGUCCAAGUGAAGCUACCAGAACUUCUGGCAGUUUACACGGUGCCAGUUCAUCUGUCUGGGGCAGAAUUGGUGGUUCAAAAACUAGAUUUUACACCAAAAGAAAAAUCUAACCCUAUAGUGAGUUCUUUUCAUUUUCCUGAUAAUCAAUCAAAGGAAGAUAAUGAUGAAUUAGAAGGUACUCGGUGCUUCCAGUCAAGGUAGGCAAAUCAUAGCAGAUGAUGCUAUUCCAAGAGCCUUCAAAGCAUCACAGAAGCCACUGAUUGAUACGCGUAGUAUAUGUAAACCAUCACAGAAGGCACUGCAUACUCUAUUUGUAAAUGGUAUACCUCAUAAAAGUAACGGAAGGGAGGCUCUUGCUCAUUUUAAGAAGUUUGGGGAAGUUAUUAACUUUUAUAUUCCAAUGAACAGUGAACGAGCUUUUGUCCAAUUCUCUAAGAGGGAAGAGGCUGAAGCUGCUUUGAGGACACCUGAUUCUGUAAUGGGCAACCGUUUCAUCAACCUUGGUGGGCUAAUCGUGAUUGUAUCCCUAGUGAAAAUACUGCUACUAGUAGGGGAAUGGUACAAUUGUAACUCCCCGCGGGCAACCACCCACUUUCGUUCCAUCUCAUCCAAUUGGCAUUGAUAGGAGAAAAGAUAUCCAUCAACCAGAUGCUUCAAGGACUAUAUUUGAAGAAUCCUCACCUUCUGAUCCAUCUAAGCCAGUCAUUGCAGAUGCACCCAAGGUUCCACCUUCUUUGCAUGGGGAACUUGAAAACUUGGAGCAUCCAAAGGAACAACUGCGUAAGAAGCAGGAAAUGCUGGACCAAAAGCGUAAUGAGUUCAAGCACCAGUUGACAAACAUGUGAAACAAGGAGGAAUGAUACGUUCUAAACUUGUAGAUCAAUUAAGUGGAGCUGUUGUGUAAUUACUGAGGAGGGAACUUCCGGAGAUGGGGGAAAAGAGGCAACUCAAAAUGGCUUGAUUGAGAAUGACCAAGUGGAAUCCAGAAAGGAAAGAAGAAAUCACAUAUUCAUUACCACUCAUAAUAUGGAACAAAUUUGGUCUGUAUUUUGGAGAAUAAGUUAGUUAGUUUCCUUUUACACAAAAAAGUUAGCUUCCUUGAAGACAUUUUCCUCGUUCAUUCUAUCAUGUGCGCUUCUCUCUCUACUCUCUUUUUAAAAGUAAAAUUUUGGUUGCAAAACUUUGUUAGUUUGUGUAAUAGUAGGUGACGUUUACAAUACACAAGUUGAUGAAAUUGUGUAUCAUACAAAAGAUUUAUUUUACCCACAGACGGUUAACCAGUAAUGGUUAACCAGUAAUGUAUUAAUAGGUAUUACCAAUUGCUGUUCCCACAUUUGGUUUGGCUGUGCCACACGAGUAAAUUACUCAAAUGCCCUUCGGUAGUAAACUGCCGAAGUUUUUAGGAAACCGGCGGCAGUUAACUGCCGAGGAAAACCUCGGUAGUUAACUGCCGAGGAAAAUGUUAUAAGAACAGAACUGCAUAGGAGUUUCCAAAACUCUAUUGUUGCGUUUUGAAUUAUCCAAGGUGCGAUUUUGAGUCAUUUGAAGCCAUUACAAGCCAAUUUCAAUCACAAAAACAAAUAUGUCUCAGAAUCAGAAUCAGGGUAACGUUCAGGGUGAUGAGAAGAAAAAAGAAAAAU